UUAUAUUAUAAGUAAAAGGGAGGGGGCAUUUCUAUUUGGGGGAUGGACAUAAUUUCAGAUUUUUUGUUUAGGAUUUUUUUUUUAGUUUUCUCCCUAUUUUCUCUCAUAAACUUAAAGUCUUUUCCUCCUCCUUAUUUCUCCAACCCAACAGCCGCCCACCUCCACCAAAUCACCACAACCACCGGACAGCCCCCACAACCCCCCACUUCAUCUCCCUUUCUCCCAAACGUUGCUCCAUCUCCACAACAUCACUAACCAAACAACGCCACCAAAACAGUCCCCCCUUUGUUCUCCUCACAGCUCCGGCGAGGAGCUUCUAGCUCCGAUGAACCGGAGCAACCAUACAGCAACCACCAAUGACACCGCCCCCCCCCCUUUCUUCUUUUCGAUUUUUUUUUUAAUUAUUUUUGUCCUGCUCGGAAUGUUGGAGCAGCCAGCAGCAACCAAACGCCACCACUGUACAGCCCACGCACCACCAUUCACACCCUUUUGCUCCCUCCGUUCUCAUUUCCUUCACGCCAAAACUCCCACCAUCUCCGACGACUCCCGUUUGUUUCGUGUUUUGUACAUUUUUCGUAUACGUAUAAUUGUGUUUGUUUGUUGUGCUACUGUUGGGCUAUUUUUUGCGUUUCCAGGCAAUCUGUUUCGUCCCGUUUCAGAUCUGGCCGGAGUUGAAUUUUCCGGUGACUGUUUGAUUUCUCCGGCCAGCGUUUAAAUGAUUAGUGUCUGCUACUGUUUUUUUUUUUUUCGUUUUUUGGACUGCCAUUCCAAAGCGGUAUACUCCAAAACCAUGCAUCUUAUCCGCAAAAUACUCUCCAGCAUAUGUAUCCCCAUUUCUGCAUAGUCAUGCAAAUCAACAUAUUGAUGAGUUAAUACACAUGCACUGAUAUUCUCCCAAGAAAAGAGAACUAAAGGAAAAGAAAUAGAAGAGUAAGACAAGAUCACUAGAAAGUUGAUAGCUUGUCGUUUUUGGUAUCAUUCUCUGCAUUUAUCAAGAUAAUUAUCACUCACUGUAAGAAUUCGUACUCAAGAGGAAAUUACAGAUACUGAUUCAGUGGCAUCCAGUAGGUCAGCAUAGAAAACGAGCUUUCUUCUUCCAGUAAAAAAAAUAUAAAAGUUUUGCACUUAUUUUUGUUUUAUUUUCCAGCGAUGAGCUUCGUCUUCGCGGGCGAAACUUGCUUCCUUUGCUACUACCCGCUGUUACUGUCGAUAUUUGACUAUUUUACAUUACCUUUUGCCAAAUAAAAUGUUGGUUUUGUGCCCGGAAAAUACUCCCGGCGGCCAAUGACAUUUUUACACCUUUUAUCACUUUUGUUAAACUAAUUUGGGCGAAUACUAAACCCAAAUGGCCGAUGAAGAAAUUUCCGUCGAUUUCCAAGGUCUCCCAUGUACAAAAGACAGGUACCCGGAGAUACAUCCGAAGACGACACUCGGAAGGAACUCGAAGACUUCAUCGAAUCACUGUUUGUAUUUACUUUCUGCUUUUUUUUAUAACUGUACAAAACAUAAACUAUAUAGUAGAAACUUUAUUUUUAGAA
Long non-coding RNA from Lycium barbarum (goji berry), 1538 nucleotides. RefSeq lists it as uncharacterized. NCBI's taxonomy places the organism in Eukaryota, Viridiplantae, Streptophyta, Magnoliopsida, Solanales, Solanaceae. The record is from RefSeq and is a predicted model, not a curated record. The transcript has 2 exons.